UACAGAGGUGGCAAGCGUUGUUCGGAAUUACUGGGCGUAAAGAGCGUGUAGGCGGCUUGUUAAGUCUUGCGUGAAAUCUCGGGGCUCAACCCCGAGCGGUCGUGAGAAACUGGCAGGCUAGAGUGCGGGAGAGGAGAGUGGAAUUCCUGGUGUAGCGGUGAAAUGCGCAGAUAUCAGGAAGAACACCCGUGGCGAAGGCGGCUCUCUGGAACGCAACUGACGCUGAGACGCGAAAGCUAGGGGAGCAAACGGG
This 253-nucleotide ribosomal RNA is filed under the name uncultured bacterium. RNAcentral's name for it is "partial 16S ribosomal RNA". It matches the Rfam family "Bacterial small subunit ribosomal RNA", at positions 524 to 776 of the family's 1533-position model. The record is from RNAcentral.